This is a long non-coding RNA of Helianthus annuus (common sunflower), 955 nucleotides long. RefSeq lists it as uncharacterized. NCBI's taxonomy places the organism in Eukaryota, Viridiplantae, Streptophyta, Magnoliopsida, Asterales, Asteraceae. The transcript has 2 exons. The record is from RefSeq and is a predicted model, not a curated record.
GUUUGGGUUAACUGAGUCUUCUUGUCGUUUUUGCAACCCUACCCCACCCUCUUCUUUCUCACCCCUUAUUUAUCAUCUCUAUCUCCCUCUUCCCUUCUCACCAUUUUCAUUUUUAUUCAAUACGUGAACCACACUCUCAUGAAGAGAAGAAGAAGCUAUAUCUUUUGAGGGGAAUGUUGUUUGGCUCGAGGUCAAUAGAAACCAAAGAUCUAUAUCUCUUUUUCUCUAACUGUUAAUAAAGAUGUACAUAUAUAUGUAUGUAUAUGAUGUUAUAGUCAACUCAAUUGGUCUACAGAUUAAUAACCAUAAUCUUUUUGGAUUAAUGAGGUUAUUCAUUUAGAGUGUUGAAUGAGAGAAACUUGAUCAUUGGAUGAUCUGCUGUACUCGGACCAGGCUUCAUUCCCCCCAAUUGUUGCUUCAUUUCUUCACAAACUUUUAAUCUUUCUUGCAUAAAGAUCCGAUCUUUGAGGCUGGUGGAUAUAGGGUCCGUCCCCCAUGCGUCGAAGACCGGUGCCGGAUGGAACACCAUGGUAUCCCGCCCCCCGUCCCCAUCUUCAGCGUCGGCAUCUGGACGUUGGGUACGCUCACAAGAAGACAAAAUGUUCUCCUCUCCCUCCACAUACACCUAUACAUGUAAUAUACAUAUACACAUUUUAGGUCCAUCCUCCCAUUUCCAUACCUCUAUCCUCUUUGUCCCAUGCUCAUGCCCAUCUUACAUGGCGUUUAUGUGACGGGCCAUCCUCCAAGAGAGGACCAUCACCAUACCCUGUACCCUAAGCAAUGAAGAAUGUGCAUGUGUGAAUUAAUAGAAACCUCAAAGCAGCAUUAAAUGGCGAUGAAUAGGUGGUAGCUGUCUUGAAGAGAUGUAAAAUGAGUUGUCAUUUACUAGACCACUAGUAGCCCUAGUUGAUAAUGUGAAAAUGAUGCAAACUUUUUCUCUUUUUUCGUUAAAUUA